RNAcentral lists this ribosomal RNA (484 nucleotides) under uncultured bacterium. RNAcentral's name for it is "partial 16S ribosomal RNA". It matches the Rfam family "Bacterial small subunit ribosomal RNA", at positions 30 to 507 of the family's 1533-position model. The record is from RNAcentral.
AUUGAACGCUGGCGGCAGGCCUAACACAUGCAAGUCGAGCGGAUGAAGGGAGCUUGCUCCUGGAUUCAGCGGCGGACGGGUGAGUAAUGCCUAGGAAUCUGCCUGGUAGUGGGGGAUAACGUCCGGAAAUGGGCGCUAAUACCGCAUACGUCCUGAGGGAGAAAGUGGGGGAUCUUCGGACCUCACGCUAUCAGAUGAGCCUAGGUCGGAUUAGCUAGUUGGUGGGGUAAAGGCCUACCAAGGCGACGAUCCGUAACUGGUCUGAGAGGAUGAUCAGUCACACUGGAACUGAGACACGGUCCAGACUCCUACGGGAGGCAGCAGUGGGGAAUAUUGGACAAAGGGCGAAAGCCUGAUCCAGCCAUGCCGCGUGUGUGAAGAAGGUCUUCGGAUUGUAAAGCACUUUAAGUUGGGAGGAAGGGCAGUAAGUUAAUACCUUGCUGUUUUGACGUUACCAACAGAAUAAGCACCGGCUAACUUCGUG